GUAACUUGUCGAUCACAGCUUGGUUUUCUAAGGACAAACAUGCCAUUAGAGAAUACAUCAGAAUCCCAUCUCGUUCUAGCUGCUUCAUCUCUUUCGUAGAUAAAAUCUCAACUCCACUCUCUUCUUCGGCAGAAGAAAAAUGCACGGUCUUGUUGAAGCAGUUGAUAUGAACUCGGUUAUACUCUAACCAAUUCAUCCCAAAUAUAACAUCCAUCCCCGUCAGUGGUAAGCAAACUAAAUCUACUUCAAAAUCCCUACCAAACAUAGAUAUAGGACAUAUCAAACAAACAAGAGAAGUAGUCACUGAACCCUUAGCUGGAGUUUCAACGACC
This 332-nucleotide long non-coding RNA is filed under the name Medicago truncatula (barrel medic). Its description in RNAcentral is "long non-coding RNA (MTRU_LNC007512)". The record is from RNAcentral. Lineage: Eukaryota; Viridiplantae; Streptophyta; Magnoliopsida; Fabales; Fabaceae.